This is a small nuclear RNA of Chrysolophus pictus (golden pheasant), 142 nucleotides long. Its record names the gene U4. It matches the Rfam family "U4 spliceosomal RNA". Rfam says of the family: U4 small nuclear RNA (U4 snRNA) is a component of the major U2-dependent spliceosome. The structure of U4 snRNA from yeast and human has been reported. The record is from Ensembl. Lineage: Eukaryota; Metazoa; Chordata; Aves; Galliformes; Phasianidae.
AGCUUUGCGCAGCGGCAGCAUCGUAGCCAGUGAGGUUUAUCCAAGGCGCGAUUAUUGCCAGUUGAUUCUAUGAUUCCAUAAGGUUUUCUUAGUUCUAUUCUGAAAAUGCUACCUGGGUAUUCUUUUAUCUUUAAGUACUUAA